RNAcentral lists this small RNA (71 nucleotides) under Pluralibacter gergoviae. RNAcentral's name for it is "ABC transporter regulator". It matches the Rfam family "ABC transporter regulator", at positions 8 to 77 of the family's 78-position model. Rfam says of the family: DapZ sRNA, encoded in the 3'-UTR of the conserved dapB gene, as a translational repressor with a GcvB-like seed domain. This is the first example of a widely conserved bacterial gene whose 3'-UTR has dual function. The record is from RNAcentral. Lineage: Bacteria; Pseudomonadati; Pseudomonadota; Gammaproteobacteria; Enterobacterales; Enterobacteriaceae.
UUCGUGAUGUGGUCGUGGCAGUCGUUAUUGUAUUGAUUGCAAGGGGCAAUAUUUUAUUGCCCUUAAAUUUU